This is a long non-coding RNA of Halichondria panicea, 447 nucleotides long. RefSeq lists it as uncharacterized. NCBI's taxonomy places the organism in Eukaryota, Metazoa, Porifera, Demospongiae, Suberitida, Halichondriidae. The transcript has 4 exons. The record is from RefSeq and is a predicted model, not a curated record.
UUCAUGUGUUGCAAGGAUUCUGCAAACUCCAGUAUUCACUACACAUAAUAUUACCCAUGCAGCAUUGUAUGUCACAUAUGCACUAUAGAAUAAUGACAGUGAGAACAGACACCUGGUAACAGAGUUAGACCCUGAACACACUAGAUGGGUUGAUUGGUGACACAGCUUAUCUCUGUCCUUAAUCUGGAAAAAACUGCACACCACUCUACAAACAAGCAUUCUUCUUCGUCAGCUUGCGUGGUCUUCCUGAUCAAGAUGGCUCGAAAAAUAACAGCUUGGGCAGGCUUCGACAAGAUUGUUCUCUUCUUGAUCGUUUUUCACACUGUUCUCUUUUCUGUCAAGUGGGAAGGGAUGUCCCUCGCCACAGAACUUGUCGUUCAAGGUACUUGCAAUAAUUAUGUUUUUUUUAUGGUAUUUUUUUAUGGUAUUUUGAACUGGUCCUGUGUU